AGCCCUAUAGUCUAGUGGUCAAGGAUGCAGGCUUUUGGAGCCUGAGACCCCGGUUCGAAUCCGGGUAGGGCUA
RNAcentral lists this transfer RNA (73 nucleotides) under Candidatus Pacearchaeota archaeon CG10_big_fil_rev_8_21_14_0_10_34_76. Its description in RNAcentral is "tRNA-Gln". It matches the Rfam family "tRNA". From Rfam's summary of the family: Transfer RNA (tRNA) molecules are approximately 80 nucleotides in length. Their secondary structure includes four short double-helical elements and three loops (D, anti-codon, and T loops). Lineage: Archaea; Nanobdellati. The record is from RNAcentral.